RNAcentral lists this ribosomal RNA (522 nucleotides) under Fusarium sp. Sigrf12. RNAcentral describes it as "eukaryotic LSU rRNA". The stretch from base 168 to 321 matches the Rfam family "5.8S ribosomal RNA". Lineage: Eukaryota; Fungi; Ascomycota; Sordariomycetes; Hypocreales; Nectriaceae. The record is from RNAcentral.
ACCUGCGGAGGGAUCAUUACCGAGUUUACAACUCCCAAACCCCUGUGAACAUACCACUUGUUGCCUCGGCGGAUCAGCCCGCUCCCGGUAAAACGGGACGGCCCGCCAGAGGACCCCUAAACUCUGUUUCUAUAUGUAACUUCUGAGUAAAACCAUAAAUAAAUCAAAACUUUCAACAACGGAUCUCUUGGUUCUGGCAUCGAUGAAGAACGCAGCAAAAUGCGAUAAGUAAUGUGAAUUGCAGAAUUCAGUGAAUCAUCGAAUCUUUGAACGCACAUUGCGCCCGCCAGUAUUCUGGCGGGCAUGCCUGUUCGAGCGUCAUUUCAACCCUCAAGCACAGCUUGGUGUUGGGACUCGCGUUAAUUCGCGUUCCCCAAAUUGAUUGGCGGUCACGUCGAGCUUCCAUAGCGUAGUAGUAAAACCCUCGUUACUGGUAAUCGUCGCGGCCACGCCGUUAAACCCCAACUUCUGAAUGUUGACCUCGGAUCAGGUAGGAAUACCCGCUGAACUUAAGCAUAUCAA